This 630-nucleotide long non-coding RNA is filed under the name Brassica napus (rape). RNAcentral describes it as "long non-coding RNA (BNAP_LNC018838)". Lineage: Eukaryota; Viridiplantae; Streptophyta; Magnoliopsida; Brassicales; Brassicaceae. The record is from RNAcentral.
AAGAAUGGAGCUUGUGCAUAAAUAGGGCAAGCUCUUGAAGAUCUUAAGAAGAGUUCUAUGAAGCUUCAGAAAGUGAUGAGAAGCUGAUACAAGGUUGGGACAAUGGCUAAGAAGAGUUCAUAUAGAAGUGGAGUAGCCUUUGGAUGAGUUUAGGAGAGAAAGGUUGAUGGUACAAAGACAGGGACGGCCAUGUACAGCCGGCUGUACGGAUGGUACGGCCCGGUAAGGACAUGGUCGAUCCAAAAGAGUUUCUAUCAAGUCUUGGGAUGUUUUGGAGUUGUGCAAAGAUAGGGCGCAAUGUGAGAGAAGCAACCCUAAUCUGUACACUCAGCUGAUGAAGACUUGUGAUGCAAGGCAUGAGGAAGGCUUAGGGAACAAACGGGCAAGAGAGCAAAGAUCCUAAAGGCAUAUACUGUCCGAGAUGGUUUAGGAAGUAACCAGGAAGGUGCUGUGCUCUCUUGACCGUUUAUGGAUAAGGUUUCUUAUCCAUACAGCCUAUUCAAAUUCAAAUGUGCAAGCUGGCGUGAGCUGUAAAGUAAAGGCAAAGAAGAGAUCAUAUAUCUGGCCAAAGGAGAGGGAAGAUACAUGGAGCUUUAAGUAAAGCAAUCAGGCGCCAGCAAGGGAGAACCA